This 73-nucleotide transfer RNA is filed under the name Camelus bactrianus (Bactrian camel). It matches the Rfam family "tRNA". Rfam says of the family: Transfer RNA (tRNA) molecules are approximately 80 nucleotides in length. Their secondary structure includes four short double-helical elements and three loops (D, anti-codon, and T loops). The record is from Rfam by way of RNAcentral. RNAcentral also lists the same sequence under 2 other names. Lineage: Eukaryota; Metazoa; Chordata; Mammalia; Artiodactyla; Camelidae.
GAGGGUAUAGCUCAAUCAAAGGAGUGCAUGCUUAGCAUUCAUGAGGUCCUGGGUUCAAUCCCCAGUACUUCUU